This 67-nucleotide transfer RNA is filed under the name Armandia sp. GK-2021. Its description in RNAcentral is "tRNA-Tyr". Lineage: Eukaryota; Metazoa; Annelida; Polychaeta; Opheliidae. The record is from RNAcentral.
CAGAAAAUGGCCGAGAGAAUAGGCGGUGAGUUGUAGCCUCAUUUACAGAAGUGCUUUCUUUUUCUGA